UCCGUAGGGUAACCUGCGGAGG
Molecule: ribosomal RNA, 22 nt
Filed under: Fusarium oxysporum
Lineage: Eukaryota; Fungi; Ascomycota; Sordariomycetes; Hypocreales; Nectriaceae
Description: partial 18S ribosomal RNA
Source: RNAcentral